This 663-nucleotide long non-coding RNA is filed under the name Heterocephalus glaber (naked mole-rat). RNAcentral's name for it is "lncRNA (ENSHGLG00000031958.1)". Lineage: Eukaryota; Metazoa; Chordata; Mammalia; Rodentia; Bathyergidae. The record is from RNAcentral.
CCCCGGCCCAGGCUCGGGCGGCGCUGCGGAGCUGGGGCUAGGGGGCAGGUAUAUCCUGAAGAUCUCGGGGAAUUGCACAGCUUCCGACGGGAAAGACCAGCUCAGGACGCAGCUCCGUUCAAUGCUGCUGUGACCGCUGUGGGCUCUGAGAAACCCAGUACCCUCUUCACUGUCUUCUCUAUCCAUGGUUUCAGCUCAUCCAGCUCCCUCUUAGACAGUGCCAUUUUCCCAAAUAAGGAGAAUGACAGCUCAAAUGGGAUUCAACACUACAUCUCACAAAGUCAGCCCCUGAGACGGAGCCCGAACGUUACACCGGAACCGGAAACCUCCCGACUGCCCUAUGGCCUGCCGUCACUACAGACAUGGCCACCUCCAUGCUGCGGUCCUCUGACAUGUGACUCAUCAUACGUUUUUAGAAGGAAGCUACUGCACCCAAGGAUUGACUACUUAGUUCCAGAAAGAGCAAGUGAAAUGAUCCAACUGCUUCCACCAAGAGUUUGCUUACCCCUGAAUAAAACGUUUAAGAAAUGAAAUUAGUGUCAGUAUUUAAAUACAAGAUUUUAUAUAAAAAUUAGGUGCCUUUGUCACUUUUUCCCUCGCUGAGACACAAUACCGGAUAGCCACAAUUUAAAGAAAAACAGAUUAUUUUGGGUCAGUUUGUAG